Molecule: unclassified non-coding RNA, 3768 nt
Filed under: Hevea brasiliensis (rubber tree)
Lineage: Eukaryota; Viridiplantae; Streptophyta; Magnoliopsida; Malpighiales; Euphorbiaceae
Source: RNAcentral
AAAAAAAAACCCAAAGCUUUCUCUCUCUCCCUUUUUUGUCAAUGGUGGAGUGUGACUGUGACAAGCUUCUGUCUGUCUCAAAAUCCUUCUUCACUGAUUAAUAAUAUAAUCAUUUUAAUUAACUAAAAUUACUCUCUCUUUCAUUUCCUAUAAAGCCACUUCUCUCUCUCUCUUCUUCAUUCCACUUCUUCACUAAUUUAUUCCAAUUUCUUAAUGGAUUCGGAGGAUGAGUUCGAUAUGCAGGACGCAGCCGCUGAAUCCGCUGAUGAUGAUUUCUACAGCGGAGGGGAUGAUGCUUUUGAAAGCGAUGACGCUGAUGUCGCUGAUUUCGAGUUCAUCGACAACGAUUCCGAUGAUUCCGAUGAUCUCAUCUCCCAUCGUCACCAGGUUCCUUUUCUUCUAUUUUGCCUUUUUAUUUUUCAACUUCAUUUUCUUUUCCUUUUAUGCUUCUUAAUAUGGCUAACACGUUAUGAGCUAUUUGUUCUUUUAACGUUUGUUUGCGAGAUUAAUGACAUUUUGAAGCUUGAUUAUACAUCAUUUGUUCCUCUUUUGGGCACAAUUGUUUGUUCAUGUUAAUUAGGUCGAUGGGCUCCCCUUUUUUCACAUGGUUGUAUUUGUAUAUAUGCUUGUUAGGGUAUGAAAAAUGCUCCAUUUAAGCUCCUGCAAUAAUGAAGCUUUCGUUUGAAAAUUUUAGCCUUUUUAGUUUGUUGGAUAGAUGUAGAGAGAAAUUUGAGCUUCUAUUUGGUCUAUUUGUGCUGAUUAAGUUGGGUAUGCUAUUUGGUCUAGGAGGAUGAUCAUUUGUUCUCACUUGUAUUUUCUUUUUCUUUUUUUAGCAAAACUAUACCAUUUUGAGUGAAGCAGAUAUUUGUCAACGUCAAGACGAUGAUAUUAUGAGGAUAUCUACUGUACUUUCCAUUUCAAAGGUUUCAGCUAGCAUCUUGCUCCGCUAUUACAAAUGGAGUGUCAGUAAAGUGAAUGAUGAAUGGUUUGCAGAUGAAGAAAAGGUUCGCAGGGUUGUUGGCUUAUUGGAGAAACCAGUUGUUGAAUUUCCAGAUGGUAGAGAAGUGACAUGCGGAAUUUGUUUUGAAAUCUAUCCUUCUGAUAGGUUGCAUGCUUCUGCUUGCGGUCAUCCAUUUUGUAGUUCAUGCUGGCAAGGCUACAUAAGCACAGCUAUUAAUGAUGGUCCUGGAUGUUUAAUGUUGCGAUGUCCUGAUCCAUCUUGCGGUGCUGCUGUUGGUCAAGAUAUGAUUAAUGAAUUGACUUCUGAUGAAGACAAGGAAAAGUAUUCCCGUUAUUUCAUUAGAUCUUAUAUUGAGGAUAAUAGAAAGGUAAUUUUGCAUUUUUGCAAAUUAAAUAGAUCAUCCAUGCUUUGAGUUCAAAAUGAAUAAAAUUGUAUGUAUUGUUAUAAAGUUUCAUUGUGAAGAGAGCAAUAUUCGUGUAUCAAACAAUUCUAUUAGUGAUUUAUGGUGUGAACUGUGAACUCUGCAUAAAAAUAGACAUCAACUUCAGAAUUAGCAUUCACAACACUCCCUUACUCUAUUUAUGCCAUCUUUCUUUUCGAAUGGAGUCAUAACCUUUUUGAACUAAUGUUAGAACUUGCGUUUUUGUUAUUAGUAUUUUGGGUGUAAUUGAUUCAAAAUUUCAAUAUGUUUGCCAUCUUUGUACGCUGGCUUUCUUUGUGUGGUUGGCUUUCAAUUCGUAAAGUGCAUGACUUUACGAAUUGAAAUGUGAUUUUGAUAAAAUUGGUCCUAAAUCAACUUCUUCAUCAAUUCAAUGUAGUGAUGCAGAACAGAAGGCAGUCCUAGUUCAGUAUUGAGAAAAAAAAUUAGUUUAGGGAACUAGUGUUAGUUCAAGUUGGUAUGUUUGCAAUGGCUUGAAAGUCUCAGUUAGGGCAUAAAUCAAAUUCAGACCUUUAUACCUAAUUUUCCCAGUUCUUUUAACUUUCUUUUUCUUGAAUUUUUCAUUUUUUCUAUGUCAUUCAGAAUGGCCCCUUGUUUUCUUCACUAUAUUUGUUCAGCUGUUAGUCAUUUGCUUCUAGCGAUUUAUGACAAUAUCAUACUGGAAAGACUUGUCCUCAUUUUUUGUUGUAUUCACCUUUCUUGUUUGUUGUUUUUGUGUUAUUUGGUAGACCAAAUGGUGCCCUGCUCCGGGAUGUGAUUAUGCUGUGGAUUUUAUUGUAGGCAGUGGAAGCUAUGAUGUUUCUUGCCACUGCUCAUAUAGCUUCUGCUGGAAUUGUACUGAAGAAGCCCAUCGUCCUGUUGAUUGUGGAACUGUGGCUAAGUGGAUAUUGAAGAACAGUGCUGAGUCUGAAAAUAUGAACUGGAUAUUGGCUAAUUCCAAACCUUGUCCAAAGUGCAAGCGGCCAAUUGAGAAAAACCAAGGCUGUAUGCAUAUUACAUGCACACCGCCUUGUAAAUUUGAGUUUUGCUGGCUUUGCCUUGGUGCAUGGUCUGAUCAUGGAGAGAGGACUGGUGGCUUUUAUGCAUGUAAUCGUUAUGAGACAGCAAAGCAAGAGGGAGUGUAUGAUGAUUCUGAGAAGCGAAGAGAAAUGGCCAAAAACUCUCUGGAGAGAUAUACACAUUAUUAUGAACGAUGGGCAACCAACCAAGCUUCUAGGCAAAAGGCACUGGCAGACCUACAGCAAAUGCAAACUGUGCAUCUUGAGAAACUUAGUGACAUACAUUGCACCCCUGAAUCUCAGCUCAAGUUCAUUACAGAUGCAUGGCUUCAGGUAGUUGAAUGCAGGCGAGUUCUAAAAUGGACCUAUGCAUAUGGAUAUUAUCUACCUGAGCAUGAACUUGCUAAGAGACAGUUUUUUGAGUACUUGCAAGGUGAGGCUGAGUCUGGCUUGGAAAGGCUUCAUCAAUGCGCAGAGAAGGAACUACAACAGUUCCUCAAUGCGGAAGGUCCCUCAAAGGAAUUUGAUGAGUUUCGAACAAAGUUGGCUGGGCUCACCAGUGUUACAAAAAAUUACUUCGAGAAUUUGGUUAGAGCAUUGGAGAAUGGUCUAGCAGAUGUGGAUUCUCAUGGUGCUUGUAGCAAAACAACUAGCUCCAAAAAUACAGUUGGUGUUGGCAAGGGGAGAGGUGGAAGAGGAAAAGGAAGCACUAAAUCUGGUGAUUCCAUCAGAAUUAUGGAUGAUUAAUAUAACUAUUCCAGGUCCAAGUUAGCCAGCAAUGUGCCAGGUAUGCUGCCACAACGGUUAGAACUUGUAAAUCCUUUGGUUGGUGGGAGCUACUUGGUACACAUGCUUCUCCAAGAUUCUGGAGGACUUAAUUGUGUUUAUUGUCUGGUGGCUCAUCUUUUUGUGAUGCUGCUCAAUGUGUGAAUGGUAAUUAAAAGUCAAAGAAGGAUUGGGAAAAAAAAAGGCUGUCUCUUUCUAAAGCAUUGUGUUUAGAGGGAAGCACCAGUCGUGGUGUAAUGUAUAUAUUUCUAUCUAUCAAGGUAUUGAGGUUCUGCAACUUGCUUUUCGUUACUUAUAAUAAUACUAGUUCUGUCUGUGAAUGCUAAUAUACUCAUUUGUGAAAAGAAAACUGUGGCUUCAUUGGACUGCUUAAUGAACAUUGUUUUCCUCUUCGUAUCUUUUCAGUGAAUUGAAUCCUAUCUAAAGAUCUGUAAAUAGGGUUUAAUGCUAAUGUCUUUGUAUUAUGGAAUUGUAGAUAUUAAUAGCUUUUUAAUAUCUUUCAUUGUAUGUUGUGCACUUGGAUUUGUGUUGUUCAUUUGGACAAUCAUAUCCUCAAUAUCAAAAUCUUGUUUCUUGAAUAUUUC